AUUGAACGCUGGCGGCAUGCCUUACACAUGCAAGUCGAACGGUAACAGGUCUUCGGAUGCUGACGAGUGGCGAACGGGUGAGUAAUACAUCGGAACGUGCCCGAUCGUGGGGGAUAACGAAGCGAAAGCUUUGCUAAUACCGCAUAAGAUCUACGGAUGAAAGCAGGGGACCGCAAGGCCUUGCGCGAACGGAGCGGCCGAUGGCAGAUUAGGUAGUUGGUGGGAUAAAAGCUUACCAAGCCGACGAUCUGUAGCUGGUCUGAGAGGACGACCAGCCACACUGGGACUGAGACACGGCCCAGACUCCUACGGGAGGCAGCAGUGAGGAAUUUUGGACAAUGGGCGAAAGCCUGAUCCAGCCAUGCCGCGUGCAGGAUGAAGGCCUUCGGGUUGUAAACUGCUUUUGUACGGAACGAAAAGACUCUGGUUAAUACCUGGGGUCCAUGACGGUACCGUAAGAAUAAGCACCGGCUAACUACGUG
Molecule: ribosomal RNA, 482 nt
Filed under: uncultured bacterium
Lineage: Bacteria
Description: partial 16S ribosomal RNA
Rfam family: Bacterial small subunit ribosomal RNA
Source: RNAcentral